This 364-nucleotide long non-coding RNA is filed under the name Malus domestica (apple). Its description in RNAcentral is "long non-coding RNA (MDOM_LNC010920)". The record is from RNAcentral. Lineage: Eukaryota; Viridiplantae; Streptophyta; Magnoliopsida; Rosales; Rosaceae.
UCGCCUUUAAUAGACGUAUGUUUGAAAACCCCUUCAUGCACACCAUAUGGGGUGAUAAUUCCUUUGUUUCCACCUCCACCAGGUGCUGGCCGUCUUCUGCGGUCACCAGGAUGUGGUCUUCUGAAGUCACCAGGAGGUCUUCUGAAGUCACCAGGAGGUGGUCUUCUGCGGACACCAGGAGGUGGUACUCUGCGGACACCAGGAGGUGGUACUCUGCGGACACCAGGAGGGGGUACUCUGCGGACACCAGGAGGGGGUACUCUGCGGACACCAGGAGGCGGUCCUCUGCGGACACCAGGAGGUGCAGCAAGGCCUCUGCGGGCAACACGAGCAGCACCACUACAACCUAUAUUAUAUUCAAUCC